RNAcentral lists this long non-coding RNA (784 nucleotides) under Astyanax mexicanus (Mexican tetra). Its description in RNAcentral is "lncRNA (ENSAMXG00005024872.1)". Lineage: Eukaryota; Metazoa; Chordata; Actinopteri; Characiformes; Acestrorhamphidae. The record is from RNAcentral.
GUGGGAUAGCUCAAGAGAACACAGAAAAUACAGAAAACAUCCAUCUGAGCGACUUUUGUUCAGCGAGUCUCUGCUUUUAAGGAUGGCCCAUAUAAAGAGGUUUGCUGGAAUUCCCAUGUCUAAGUGUAUGAGAGAAAUGUGCAGAGAGGAGGACUACAUGUUCCUACAGGACCCGAGAGACCAGGGCAAGACUCCUGAGGGCACCACGCUUCAGGACACUGAGUGGCAGCAAAAGCGGGAGGAAAGGAUUCGGCGGAGGGUGGAGAGAGAGCAGCAAGAGCAGGAAAGGCAGCGGCAGCUGGAGGAGCAGCAGAGGGUAAAAAUGCUCAUGAUGCAUUAAUCUCAAGGUGGCAAUUCAAGUCAACUAUUAUCUGUAAUAUUCUGCUAUAUAUAUUAUGCACUCACUGUGACCUAAAAAAUACAGCUUUCUUUGAUUUCCUUGAUUUUGCUAUUUAUAGACCUCAAAUAAUGCAAAGAACAUAAGUUCACAUUCCAAAAAGUUUUAAGAGUUGAGAAAUCAAUAUUUGGUGGAAUAACCCUUGUUUUUAAUCGCAGUUUUCAUGCAUCUUGGCAUGUUCUCCUCCAUCAGUCUUACACACUGCUUUUGGAUAACUUUAUGCCUUUACUCCUGGUUCAAAAAAUUCAAGCAGUUCGGCUUGGUAUAAUGGCUUGUAAUCAUCCAUCUUCCUCUUGAUUAUUUUCCGGAGGUUUUCAAUUUGGUGAAAUCAAAGAAACUCAUCAUUUUUAAGUGAUUUCUUUUUUUUACAGUGAUGUAUAUUGGUCU